This 456-nucleotide ribosomal RNA is filed under the name uncultured bacterium. RNAcentral describes it as "SSU rRNA". It matches the Rfam family "Bacterial small subunit ribosomal RNA", at positions 26 to 518 of the family's 1533-position model. The record is from RNAcentral.
AGGAUGAACGCUGGCGGCGUGCUUAAUACAUGCAAGUCGAGCGGUAAGGCCCCUUCGGGGGUACACGAGCGGCGGACGGCUGAGUAACGCGUGGGAACGUACCCCAAAGUGAGGGAUAAGCACCAGAAAUGGUGUCUAAUACCGCAUGUGCUCUAAGGAGUAAAGCUCCGGCGCUUUGGGAACGGCCUGCGUUCGAUUAGCUUGUUGGUGAGGUAAUGGCUCACCAAGGCGACGAUCGAUAGCUGGUCUGAGAGGAUGACCAGCCAGACUGGGACUGAGAACGGCCCAGACUCCUACGGGAGGCAGCAGUAGGGAAUUUUCCACAAUGGACGAAAAGUCUGAUGGAGCAACGCCGCGUGCAGGAUGAAGGCCUUAGGGUUGUAAACUGCUUUUAUGUAUGAAGAUUAUGACGGUAGUACAUGAAUAAGGAUCGGCUAACUCCGUGCCAGCAGCCAC